RNAcentral lists this unclassified non-coding RNA (444 nucleotides) under Hevea brasiliensis (rubber tree). Lineage: Eukaryota; Viridiplantae; Streptophyta; Magnoliopsida; Malpighiales; Euphorbiaceae. The record is from RNAcentral.
CGCCCCCAUUAACAUACUCCAUCACAAAAUACACCUUCGAUUUCGUCGCCAUUACUUCUUUCAAUUCCACAAUAUGGGGAUGACGAACCAACCCCAUAACAGAAAUUUCUCGCCGGAUUUGCUCAAGAAGCCCCUCUUUCUUCACCCUGUCCUUGAGGAUAACUUUAAUGGCAACACUCUCGUGGGUCAUCAAGUUUCUUCCAUAAUAGACCUUCGCAAAGGUCCCUUUCCCCAAUAGCCGACCCAUUUCGUAUUUCCCAAAUAAAACAUUCCUCGGUCGUGCCGCCUCACCCGCCAUCUCCGAUUUACUUGAACGAAAGCUAAAGACAGAGUUUCCAAGAAGGGGUUUUAAUCGGAGAAAUGAGGAUGAGCCAGAUGAGUAAAGUUAACAUGGUGCAGGAAAGCGGUGUGGAUUGAUGAGAAAAUUGAAAGGGGGAUUGAAUG